Molecule: ribosomal RNA, 332 nt
Filed under: uncultured Acholeplasma sp.
Lineage: Bacteria; Bacillati; Mycoplasmatota; Mollicutes; Acholeplasmatales; Acholeplasmataceae
Description: bacterial SSU rRNA
Rfam family: Bacterial small subunit ribosomal RNA
Source: RNAcentral
UUGUCGUCAGCUCGUGUCGUGAGAUGUUGGGUUAAGUCCCGCAACGAGCGCAACCCUUAUUGCUAGUUACCAUCAUUAAGUUGGGGACUCUAGCGAGACUGCCAGUGAUAAACUGGAGGAAGGUGGGGAUGACGUCAAAUCAUCAUGCCCCUUAUGACCUGGGCUACAAACGUGAUACAAUGGCCGAAACAAAGGACAGCGAAGGAGCGAUCUGGAGCGAAACCCAAAAAAGCAGUCUCAGUUCGGAUUGAAGUCUGCAACUCGACUUCAUGAAGUCGGAAUCGCUAGUAAUCGCGGAUCAGAACGCCGCGGUGAAUACGUUCUCGGGGUUU